This 254-nucleotide ribosomal RNA is filed under the name uncultured bacterium. RNAcentral's name for it is "partial 16S ribosomal RNA". It matches the Rfam family "Bacterial small subunit ribosomal RNA", at positions 524 to 776 of the family's 1533-position model. The record is from RNAcentral.
GACGUAGGGAGCGAGCGUUGUCCGGAUUUACUGGGCGUAAAGAGCGCGUAGGCGGUCUGUUAAGUGUGAAGUGAAAUCUCCAGAGCUCAACUCGGAAACCGCUUCGCAUACUGGCAGACUUGAGGAAUGCAGAGGUGAAUAGAAUUCCUGGUGUAGCGGUGAAAUGCGUAGAUAUCAGGAGGAAUACCCAUGGCGAAGGCAGUUCACUGGGCAUUAUCUGACGCUGAGGCGCGAAAGCGUGGGUAGCAAACAGG